GACGAACGCUGGCGGCGUGCUUAACACAUGCAAGUCGAACGGAAAGGCCCUGCUUUUGUGGGGUGCUCGAGUGGCGAACGGGUGAGUAACACGUGAGUAACCUGCCCUUGACUUUGGGAUAACUUCAGGAAACUGGGGCUAAUACCGGAUAGGAGCUCCUGCUGCAUGGUGGGGGUUGGAAAGUUUCGGCGGUUGGGGAUGGACUCGCGGCUUAUCAGCUUGUUGGUGGGGUAGUGGCUUACCAAGGCUUUGACGGGUAGCCGGCCUGAGAGGGUGACCGGCGAGGGUGGGGAGGGGAGCGGGCACAGAAGGAGGCGGGGGGGAGGAGAGGGGAAGAGGGCAAACGGGGGGGGAGGAGGAGGGAGGAGCGUCGCGGGGGGGAGGAGGGGUGGCGGGUGGCAGACGAGGGUAGACGAGGAAGAGGAGUGAGGGAUGGAAGUGGGAAAAGAAGCACCGGAAAACUGCGAGACAGCAGCUGCGGUAAUAAUCGGAAGAGAAAACGUCGGAAC
RNAcentral lists this ribosomal RNA (509 nucleotides) under uncultured bacterium. Its description in RNAcentral is "partial 16S ribosomal RNA". The stretch from base 20 to 325 matches the Rfam family "Bacterial small subunit ribosomal RNA", at positions 47 to 358 of the family's 1533-position model. The record is from RNAcentral.